UACGAAGGGUGCAAACGUUGCUCGGAAUCAUUGGGCGUAAAGCGCACGUAGGCGGCCUCAAAAGUCGGAUGUGAAAUCCCGUGGCUCAACCAUGGACGUGCAUUCGAAACUGCGAGGCUUGAGUAUGGAAGAGGGUCGCGGAAUUCCCGGUGUAGAGGUGAAAUUCGUAGAUAUCGGGAGGAACACCAGUGGCGAAGGCGGCGACCUGGGCCAAUACUGACGCUGAGGUGCGAAAGCGUGGGGAGCAAGCAGG
This 253-nucleotide ribosomal RNA is filed under the name uncultured bacterium. Its description in RNAcentral is "partial 16S ribosomal RNA". It matches the Rfam family "Bacterial small subunit ribosomal RNA", at positions 524 to 776 of the family's 1533-position model. The record is from RNAcentral.